This 219-nucleotide unclassified non-coding RNA is filed under the name Hevea brasiliensis (rubber tree). Lineage: Eukaryota; Viridiplantae; Streptophyta; Magnoliopsida; Malpighiales; Euphorbiaceae. The record is from RNAcentral.
GUGAAAAUGAAAUUGUAAAAUGUUUUUACUCUUUUGCCCUAAUAACUGUGAUUUAUUUUUAAUAGUGUUAAUGAUCAAUAUAUUCCUGUAUGAUAUUACAAUGAACAUUAUGCCUGCUUUUGGUUUUUUCACAUGGGAUGAAUUUUCUAGGUGCAGUUUUUGAUAUGCAUUUUUUUUUUAAGGAAAACAGCUAAUAUCGAAGAGAGAGUUUAAAAUAAU